UACGUAGGGUCCGAGCGUUGUCCGGAAUUACUGGGCGUAAAGAGCUCGUAGGUGGUUUGUCGCGUUGUUCGUGAAAACUCACAGCUUAACUGUGGGCGUGCGGGCGAUACGGGCAGACUGGAGUACUGCAGGGGAGACUGGAAUUCCUGGUGUAGCGGUGGAAUGCGCAGAUAUCAGGAGGAACACCGGUGGCGAAGGCGGGUCUCUGGGCAGUAACUGACGCUGAGGCACGAAGGCCAGGGGAGCAAACGGG
RNAcentral lists this ribosomal RNA (253 nucleotides) under uncultured bacterium. Its description in RNAcentral is "partial 16S ribosomal RNA". It matches the Rfam family "Bacterial small subunit ribosomal RNA", at positions 524 to 776 of the family's 1533-position model. The record is from RNAcentral.